AACCAUGCCCUUCGGGGCUCCUUGGUGAUUCAUAAUAACUUAACGAAUCGCAUGGCCUUGUGCCGGCGAUGGUUCAUUCAAAUUUCUGCCCUAUCAACUUUCGAUGGUAGGAUAGUGGCCUACCAUGGUUUCAACGGGUAACGGGGAAUUAGGGUUCUAUUCCGGAGAGGGAGCCUGAGAAACGGCUACCACAUCCAAGGAAGGCAGCAGGCGCGCAAAUUACCCAAUCCCGACACGGGGAGGUAGUGACAAUAAAUACUGAUACAGGGCUCUUUUGGGUCUUGUAAUUGGAAUGAGUACAAUUUAAAUCCCUUAACGAGGAACAAUUGGAGGGCAGGUCUGGUGCCAGCAGCCGCGGUAAUUCCAGCUCCAAUAGCGUAUAUUAAAGUUGUUGCAGUUAAAAAGCUCGUAGUUGAACCUUGGGCCUGGCUGGCCGGUCCGCCUCACCGCGAUCACUGGUCCGGCCGGGCCUUUCCUUCUGGGGAGCCGCAUGCCCUUCACUGGGUGUGUCGGGGAACCAGGACUUUUAC
Molecule: ribosomal RNA, 530 nt
Filed under: ascomycete from Cephaloziella exiliflora rhizoid
Lineage: Eukaryota; Fungi; Ascomycota
Description: SSU rRNA
Rfam family: Eukaryotic small subunit ribosomal RNA
Source: RNAcentral